This 375-nucleotide ribosomal RNA is filed under the name uncultured Comamonadaceae bacterium. RNAcentral's name for it is "bacterial SSU rRNA". It matches the Rfam family "Bacterial small subunit ribosomal RNA", at positions 1003 to 1382 of the family's 1533-position model. Lineage: Bacteria; Pseudomonadati; Pseudomonadota; Betaproteobacteria; Burkholderiales; Comamonadaceae. The record is from RNAcentral.
GAGAUGAGGCUGUGCUCGAAAGAGAACCUGCACACAGGUGCUGCAUGGCUGUCGUCAGCUCGUGUCGUGAGAUGUUGGGUUAAGUCCCGCAACGAGCGCAACCCUUGCCAUUAGUUGCUACGAAAGGGCACUCUAAUGGGACUGCCGGUGACAAACCGGAGGAAGGUGGGGAUGACGUCAAGUCCUCAUGGCCCUUAUAGGUGGGGCUACACACGUCAUACAAUGGCCGGUACAAAGGGCUGCAAACCCGCGAGGGGGAGCCAAUCCAUCAAAGCCGGUCGUAGUCCGGAUCGCAGUCUGCAACUCGACUGCGUGAAGUCGGAAUCGCUAGUAAUCGUGGAUCAGCAUGUCACGGUGAAUACGUUCCCGGGUCUU